RNAcentral lists this unclassified non-coding RNA (200 nucleotides) under Sebacina sp. Its description in RNAcentral is "partial internal transcribed spacer 2". Lineage: Eukaryota; Fungi; Basidiomycota; Agaricomycetes; Sebacinales; Sebacinaceae. The record is from RNAcentral.
UUAAGUUCAGCGGGUAGUCCUACUCGAUUUGAGGUCAAGUUGUCAGAGAUUGUCCGAAGACGGUUUGAAGCACAGAGCUCCCGAUCGGCCACCCUCCUUGUGAGGAGGCGCCGGCGAAGACACUUAUCACGCCGUACUAUGUCCAACCAAGAGUUGUACUAACUCAUUUGAGGUGAGCCACAACUAAAGCAGCAACACCC